Alexandromys fortis (reed vole) is the source of this 628-nucleotide long non-coding RNA. RefSeq lists it as uncharacterized. NCBI's taxonomy places the organism in Eukaryota, Metazoa, Chordata, Mammalia, Rodentia, Cricetidae. The transcript is spliced from 3 exons. The record is from RefSeq and is a predicted model, not a curated record.
AAUGACCCAGCUUUCUCUGGGUAUCCCCGUGGCUAUCUAGCAAUCUCAAAAAUCUCUCAGGGUAUCUCCCUACUCUUAACUAUCAUGAUGAGAAUACUAAGAUCUAAGCUGCUCUCGUUUCUGCACAGGAACAAGACAUGUGGUAACCUUGCACAAUGAGGACUGGAAUGGAAGUGGACAUAUUUUUGUGCUUUCUAGGAAUUUAAGUGGGAGAUUGAAGGUCUGAACUGCUGGAUGACCGGGAAACAAACAAGCAACCUCCAAUCAACAAUUAGGACUCUUGUGCAAAGCUAACAAUGCAGUCAGGAUGAAAUGACAGGAACAUUAAGUACCUGGCGAUAUAUGUGGACCCCCAGAAGAUGUUCAGUAAUUGUGAUCUGUUUCUCUUGGCUGUGCUGAAGAGCAAACUUCCUCAGAAGUCACGUUGAGAAGCCCAGAAUGAGGAACCCCUAACCCAGGAAGAACAGUUUGCCUAUAAUCUGCGUGUUAUCUGCAUUUGAAGUGUGGACCUAUGUUUAAAUAUCUCUGACAAAAGUCACUGUUACCACUUGAAAAGAUAUGUUGAAUUCUAGUAUCUUUUUCUAUGUUCUCUCUCUCUCUCUCUCUCUCUCUCUCUCUCUCUCUCUCU